RNAcentral lists this long non-coding RNA (484 nucleotides) under Rattus norvegicus (Norway rat). RNAcentral's name for it is "long non-coding RNA NONRATT007035". Lineage: Eukaryota; Metazoa; Chordata; Mammalia; Rodentia; Muridae. The record is from RNAcentral.
UAAAGCACCCUACCUAGCCUGUCCUUUCAGCAUGCUCUGACCAGAAGUUCCCAGUUCCUAUGACAGCGCUAGAAGGGGUUGGCACUUCUCCGCCAUGUCGGUCCUCCAUUCCUCUGGCAGUACAGAGUGUGCACCACGUGCUGAGAGCUGCCCUCUGGGGGGCCACGAUGCUCCAACUAACUGCCUGGCUUGCAGCAGAAGCUAGGUUGUGGUCUGCAGUGUGGCUAACCUUCCCCUUCUCAAAGUGCUUGACUGCGUGCUGGGAACUUUGUGCUCUGGAAUGCUCUGAAGUUCUGACUAGGACCCGGCCCCUCCUAUCUAGUGAAUGAGUUACAAGACGUAUAUGGCUGUGACGCUUUGGGUAGUGCCUGUAACCAGAAAUCCACUAAAAGCCUUUCGUUUGUUUUUGGUUGAGUCGUUAACUGCCUGCCACUGAGAACCAUACUUGAGCUUAGUAAGUCUGUGUAAACUGUAAAGACCCUUG